RNAcentral lists this unclassified non-coding RNA (295 nucleotides) under uncultured fungus. Its description in RNAcentral is "partial contains 5.8S rRNA and ITS2". The record is from RNAcentral. Lineage: Eukaryota; Fungi.
AACGCAAGUUGCGGGUUUCUUUCGAAAACCAUGUUUGCCUGAGGGUUGUUUCACACAAAUUGAGGCGUGUCAUUUUCCAUAAAAAAGGGAUGACUCCCUUUAAAUAAUUUUGAAUUUCCCCUCCCGAUCUUUUGUGACUUGAAGAAAAGUUAAUUUUUUUUCAAGAAACGAAAUCUCUCCAUUUUUUUAUUUUAACUUGAAAACAAAGAAAAGGAGCUCUUUGAGUACCUUCCAAAAAAAAAAAAUUAAUUAAUAACGCCACCUCAGAUAAAGCAAGACUACCCGCUGAACUUAA